RNAcentral lists this ribosomal RNA (503 nucleotides) under uncultured bacterium. RNAcentral describes it as "partial 16S ribosomal RNA". It matches the Rfam family "Bacterial small subunit ribosomal RNA", at positions 28 to 523 of the family's 1533-position model. The record is from RNAcentral.
GAUGAACGCUAGCGACAGGCCUAACACAUGCAAGUCGAGGGGCAGCAUAAAGGUAGCAAUACUUUGGUGGCGACGGGCGCACGGGUGAGUAACAUGUAUGCAACCUACCUGUAAGAGGGGUAUAACUCGGAGAAAUUCGGACUAAUACCGCAUAAUACCGCUGAACUGCAUGGUUCAGUGGUUAACCACUUAUGGCUUACAGAUGGGCAUGCGUAUGUAUAGCUAGUUGGUGAGGUAGCGGCUAACCAAGGAAACGAUCAUUAGGGGUUAUGAGAGGAAGGUCCCCCACACUGGUACUGAGACACGGACCAGACUCCUACGGGAGGCAGCAGUGAGGAAUAUUGGUCAAUGGGCGAGAGCCUGAACCAGCCAAGUCGCGUGAAGGAAGAAGGUUCUAUGGAUUGUAAACUUCUUUUGUAAGGGAAUAAAAAAGAGUACGUGUACUCUAUUGUAUGUACUUUACGAAUAAGGAUCGGCUAACUCCGUGCCAGCAGCCGCCGUAA